GAUGAAGAACGCAGCGAAAUGCGAUAAGUAAUGUGAAUUGCAGAAUUCAGUGAAUCAUCGAAUCUUUGAACGCUCAUUGCGCCCGCCAGUAUUCUGGCGGGCAUGCCUGUUCGAGCGUCAUUUCAACCAUCAAGCCCCCGGGCUUGUGUUGGGGACCUGCGGCUGCCGCAGGCCCUGAAAAGCAGUGGCGGGCUCGCUGUCACACCGAGCGUAGUAGAUUUUAUCUCGCUCUGGGCGUGCUGCGGGUUCCGGCCGUUAAACCACCCUUUUAACCCAAGGUUGACCUCGGAUCAGGUAGGAAGACCCGCUGAACUUAAGCAUAUCAAUAAGCGGAGGA
This 337-nucleotide unclassified non-coding RNA is filed under the name soil metagenome. RNAcentral's name for it is "partial contains 5.8S ribosomal RNA, internal transcribed spacer 2, and large subunit ribosomal RNA". The stretch from base 1 to 120 matches the Rfam family "5.8S ribosomal RNA", at positions 35 to 154 of the family's 154-position model. The record is from RNAcentral.